GACAGAGGGUGCAAACGUUGUUCGGAUUCACUGGGCGUAAAGGGUGCGUAGGUGGUGAGGUAAGUCAGGUGUGAAAUCUCGGGGCUCAACCCCGAAACUGCACUUGAUACUGCCUUGCUUGAGUACUGGAGAGGAGAUUGGAAUUUACGGUGUAGCAGUGAAAUGCGUAGAUAUCGUAAGGAAGACCAGUGGCGAAGGCGAAUCUCUGGACAGUUACUGACACUGAGGCACGAAGGCCAGGGGAGCAAACGGG
Molecule: ribosomal RNA, 253 nt
Filed under: uncultured bacterium
Lineage: Bacteria
Description: partial 16S ribosomal RNA
Rfam family: Bacterial small subunit ribosomal RNA
Source: RNAcentral